CCUACGGGCGGCAGCAGUGGGGAAUAUUGCACAAUGGGCGCAAGCCUGAUGCAGCCAUGCCGCGUGUGUGAAGAAGGCCUUCGGGUUGUAAAGCACUUUCAGCGGGGAGGAAGGCGGUGAGGUUAAUAACCUCAUCGAUUGACGUUACCCGCAGAAGAAGCACCGGCUAACUCCGUGCCAGCAGCCGCGGUAAUACGGAGGGUGCAAGCGUUAAUCGGAAUUACUGGGCGUAAAGCGCGCGCAGGCGGUCUGUCAAGUCGGAUGUGAAAUCCCCGGGCUCAACCUGGGAACUGCAUUCGAAACUGGCAGGCUAGAGUCUUGUAGAGGGGGGUAGAAUUCCAGGUGUAGCGGUGAAAUGCGUAGAGAUCUGGAGGAAUACCGGUGGCGAAGGCGGCCCCCUGGACAAAGACUGACGCUCAGGUGCGAAAGCGUGGGGAGCAAACAGGAUUAGAUACCCGGGUAGUC
RNAcentral lists this ribosomal RNA (465 nucleotides) under uncultured Klebsiella sp. Its description in RNAcentral is "bacterial SSU rRNA". It matches the Rfam family "Bacterial small subunit ribosomal RNA", at positions 338 to 795 of the family's 1533-position model. The record is from RNAcentral. Lineage: Bacteria; Pseudomonadati; Pseudomonadota; Gammaproteobacteria; Enterobacterales; Enterobacteriaceae.